UACGGAGGGUGCAAGCGUUAAUCGGAAUUACUGGGCGUAAAGCGCACGCAGGCGGUUUGUUAAGUCAGAUGUGAAAUCCCCGCGCUUAACGUGGGAACUGCAUUUGAAACUGGCAAGCUAGAGUCUUGUAGAGGGGGGUAGAAUUCCAGGUGUAGCGGUGAAAUGCGUAGAGAUCUGGAGGAAUACCGGUGGCGAAGGCGGCCCCCUGGACAAAGACUGACGCUCAGGUGCGAAAGCGUGGGGAGCAAACAGG
Molecule: non-coding RNA, 253 nt
Filed under: uncultured bacterium
Lineage: Bacteria
Also listed under: 6 other names
Description: partial 16S ribosomal RNA
Rfam family: Bacterial small subunit ribosomal RNA
Source: RNAcentral